This 499-nucleotide ribosomal RNA is filed under the name uncultured Glomus. Its description in RNAcentral is "SSU rRNA". It matches the Rfam family "Eukaryotic small subunit ribosomal RNA", at positions 569 to 1075 of the family's 1831-position model. The record is from RNAcentral. Lineage: Eukaryota; Fungi; Glomeromycota; Glomeromycetes; Glomerales; Glomeraceae.
AGCAGCCGCGGUAAUUCCAGCUCCAAUAGCGUAUAUUAAAGUUGUUGCAGUUAAAAGCUCGUAGUUGAAUUUCGGGAUCAAUAUGUUGGUCGUGCCUUGGUACGUACUGGCAUUAUCGAUUCCUACCUUCUGAAGAACCUCGAUGUCAUUAAUUUGGUGUCUUGGGGAAUCAGGACUGUUACUUUGAAAAAUUAGAGUGUUUAAAGCAGGCUCGCGCUUGAAUACAUUAGCAUGGAAUAAUGAAAUAGGACGUUUGAUUCUAUUUUGUUGGUUUCUAGGAUCGACGUAAUGAUUAAUAGGGAUAGUUGGGGGCAUUAGUAUUCAAUUGUCAGAGGUGAAAUUCUUGGAUUCAUUGAAGACUAACUACUGCGAAAGCAUUUGCCAAGGAUGUUUUCAUUAAUCAAGAACGAAAGUUAGGGGAUCGAAGACGAUCAGAUACCGUCGUAGUCUUAACCAUAAACUAUGCCGACUAGGGAUCGGAUGAUGUAAUUUUUAAUGA